CCAAGCACGCGGACCCGGGAUUUGGCGCCGCGAUCUCGAGGCUUAGCCUGGAGCCGUGGAGCUGCGGAGCCUGUGGCGGGAGCGCGCGUGCGUGGUGGCCGGGCUGCGGCGCUUCGGGUGCGUGGUGUGCCGCUGGAUCGCCCAGGACCUCAGCAGCCUUGCUGGACUCCUGGACCAGCACGGCGUGCGCCUGGUGGGCGUAGGGCCCGAGGCCCUGGGUCUGCAGGAGUUCCUGGACGGCGACUACUUCAAGGGAGAGCUCUACCUGGAUGAGAGCAAGCAGCUUUACAAGGAGCUAGGCUUCAAGCGGUACAACAGCCUGAGCAUCCUCCCAGCAGCUCUGGGGAAGCCCGUGCGUGAUGUGGCUGCCAAGGCCAAGGCUGUUGGCAUCCAGGGGAACUUGUCUGGGGACCUGCUGCAGAGCGGAGGGCUGCUGGUGGCCAGCAAAGAAGUCUCCAGGCGACUACGUCCCCAAGGAGCACAUCCUGCAGGUCCUGGGCAUCUCUGCGGAGGUCUGUGCCAGCGACCCGCCUCAGUGUGCCAGAGAGGUGUGAGGGAGGCGAAGGCCCUGGCCUCCGAGGAUCUGGGUGGCGUCUGCUGCCCUAGGUGUGCUGGAAGUCCACUUGGAAGAACUGUUCCAGAGGUGCUGGGUCGGGAUGCCGAACCUCUCCUGAUCCGCCGGCAGCAACAAGCCAUUAAAACUGCAGUUCCUGACCACGCACUGCUUCGCAGGCUCCGAGCCCUGCAUCCUCCACAGCCCCCGCCUUGCUCACUGUUGGGCCCUC
RNAcentral lists this small RNA (785 nucleotides) under Pan troglodytes (chimpanzee). RNAcentral describes it as "processed transcript". The record is from RNAcentral. Lineage: Eukaryota; Metazoa; Chordata; Mammalia; Primates; Hominidae.